UUGAUAGACAUAUGAAUCUUGUUGAGAAAAUAUGUGAUAUGAUCCUUCUAUGCAAUGUAGAAAACUUACCACAUUAUAUACAAAAUUUUAUACAAGCUAUACUUGCACAGUAUCCUUGUUUUCCAACAUAUUCAGCUGUUUCAAUAUUAAUAUUACAAACAAAGUUGUCAAAAAUCUUUGUUGGUACUGCUGAUUAUCAGAAUUCAUUAAUAAAUUUAUCUCUUUCUAUCAUAUUUUAUUCGAUUGCAGCUAUUAAUUCAGAACAUUAUAGUGGAACUGAAGAUGGAUCAGUUUUGAGAAUAGUUUGUCAGUUUUUGAAAACAUUAAAUUUUUCAUCUAAAGUAUGUAAUAUUAUCUGGAAUUCUGUAAAAGUAAUGCACAUUCAACAAACAGCAGUUUUAGGAUCAGUGUUUUCAUUAUUAUUAAAAUGCAAUUUGUUUGGAAUGGAAGAAAUUGUUGUUGUCGAUAAUAUUUUAUUGGAGUUAAAGAUGAAAUUUCCCCAAAUUAUUAAUAAAAAGUGGUGGAUGGAAUUGAAUUAUUACGUACAGUUAUUUAAAGGUCCUACAGCCAUGCUGGUAAAGUCAUAAUAAUAGAGUUGGAUGUAAAAUAUUUUAAUAUCAAAUUGAAUUGUAUUUUUAUGACAAAUUAAAAGUCAAUAAAUGCA
Molecule: unclassified non-coding RNA, 664 nt
Filed under: Centruroides sculpturatus (bark scorpion)
Lineage: Eukaryota; Metazoa; Arthropoda; Arachnida; Scorpiones; Buthidae
Description: uncharacterized LOC111638612, transcript variant X2
Source: RNAcentral